UAUUUUUUAUUUUUUAAUCCUGAAAGCCAACAAGAUGUUUCUACUGCUCACAACCGGAUGUUUUGGCAUUGGCUAUCGAAAACACAGUUUAUGACGUCAAAUGAACUAAGUUAGCUGGCUGCUGUGCUGUCAGUAUAGGUUUCACAGCCGAAUAACGCCGCCACGGUUCAAACAGAUGAAAUGGCUUUGAGGGAUGGCCACGAGAGAGAGAGAGAGAGGGAAGUUCUUGCCGCCUGCGCGUCAGCCUGAACGAAUUACAGAAGACAGUGAUCAGUUUGCCUUUUCGACAGUAUCCAUUAGUUCUCAGACAAAAGGCCAUGGCAAACAUCUCAGUCUUCACCCUGGGCCCCAGGACUGUGUUUAGGAUGCAGGGGCCACGCCUGGGUGCACGGUGUCGGCUGGAGGAGUGGAGUCGCUCACGGCUGUUCCUGUGCCAGAUGCCUCCUGGAGCUUUUACAAGUUCUUCUCCUGGCCCCCUCCGAAGCUACCGGCCUGCAGAGGAACCGUCAUUCCCUGCCCUCUCAGAUGUGAGACCAGGGCUGUACGCGUGACCCACACGCACCUCUCUGUACGCGCCGUUUGCGCACUUACAGAUGCUUGCUCUCGUCAGGACAGGGGUGUACAACGUAGCAUUUUACCAGCGUUAGCAGUGGAGCCUCAGUGUCGGAGGAGACAGAACCUUAUCUGCAUUCAAAAAAUUAAUUUCUGCUGCGUCGUGAAGGACAGCCAGAGGUAAUUGAGCUAUCUGCGGGUCGAAAAACAGACUGGUUUCAUUUUCCCUUCUUCUGCUCUGUGUGCAAGUUGGGGAGGGUUGGGGGCAGUGCACCUGUUAAAAUGAAUUAAAAAGGGAAAUGUUAAAAGCAAGUUUAAUUCCUUUAUUGCCAAGGA
Molecule: long non-coding RNA, 888 nt
Organism: Anguilla rostrata (American eel)
Lineage: Eukaryota; Metazoa; Chordata; Actinopteri; Anguilliformes; Anguillidae
Exons: 4
Source: RefSeq, a predicted model, not a curated record